AUGUUCACCAGCAACUUUUGGCAGGCCUUGGUGAGAAGAACAGGGGUUGUACUUAACAUGAGCAUGGCAUAUCACCCAGAAACAGAUGGACAGACAGAGCGUGUCAACCAUCAAGUGGAGUGUUUCUUGAGGUGUUUUAUCAGCGCUCACCCAAAGAAGUGGUUUAAAUGGCUUUCUCUUUGUGAAUUCUGGUACAAUACAAAUUGGCAUUCAUCACUCGACAAAUCACCCUUUGAGGUUCUUUAUGGCCAUGGUCCGAGGCACUUUGGCAUUUCAGCUUCGGAUGUAGUUGAUCCUAUUGAUCUGCAGCAGUGGUUGGAUGCCAGAGAAGUCACUCAGCAAUCUGUUCCCCAACACUUGUUGCGUGUUCAGCAGAGAAUGAAACACCAAGCUGACAAGAAGCGCACGAAAAGGUCAUUUGCUGUGGGCAAUUGA
This 435-nucleotide ribosomal RNA is filed under the name Triticum aestivum (bread wheat). RNAcentral describes it as "partial small subunit ribosomal RNA". The record is from RNAcentral. Lineage: Eukaryota; Viridiplantae; Streptophyta; Magnoliopsida; Poales; Poaceae.